GACAGAGGAUGCAAACGUUGCUCGGAUUUACUGGGCGUAAAGCGCGCGCAGGCGGUCUUGUAAGUCGGACGUGAAAUCCCGGGGCUCAACCUCGGAAGUGCGUCUGAUACUGCGAGACUGGAGUACUGGAGAGGAGAGCGGAAUUCCCGGUGUAGAGGUGAAAUUCGUAGAUAUCGGGAGGAACACCAGUGGCGAAGGCGGCUCUCUGGACAGAUACUGACGCUGAGGCGCGAAAGCGUGGGAAGCAAACAGG
RNAcentral lists this ribosomal RNA (253 nucleotides) under uncultured bacterium. Its description in RNAcentral is "partial 16S ribosomal RNA". It matches the Rfam family "Bacterial small subunit ribosomal RNA", at positions 524 to 776 of the family's 1533-position model. The record is from RNAcentral.